GGGCGAUUAGCUCAGCUGGUUUAGAGCGCCUGCCUUACAAGCAGGAGGUCAGAGGUUCGAGUCCUCUAUCGCCCA
RNAcentral lists this transfer RNA (75 nucleotides) under Candidatus Zixiibacteriota bacterium. RNAcentral describes it as "tRNA-Val". It matches the Rfam family "tRNA". Rfam says of the family: Transfer RNA (tRNA) molecules are approximately 80 nucleotides in length. Their secondary structure includes four short double-helical elements and three loops (D, anti-codon, and T loops). The record is from RNAcentral. Lineage: Bacteria; Pseudomonadati; Candidatus Zixiibacteriota.